UUUAUUAAUUAUGAAAAAUUCAGCGAAUAGUGAGUCAGAAGAUAAUGAAAGCUAAACAAAGCAUAAUCUGUCAGCUGUCUGUAUGUGCAGAGUUGCUUUUCUGUUGGUUUAUUAAUUUUACUUCAUAGGUUAGCCGUUAAAAUAAUUUCGUGGACAUCAGCUGUAAGCUCAAAUAUAUGUAUGUAAGCGGAUAAUUGAGAAACCACUUCAAUUUUAACGACUUCUCUAAAGUCUUCAUAUUGCCUUUUCGCACAGCCUCACGUAUAAAGUAUCCCAAGUAAUUAUAACAUUAUUUAGAAAAUUCCUUAAACUUAUUAUUUACUUAUUGAACAACUCCUAUUUAUCCGUUUUGUUUUGACCACGUCGUAAGUCUGCCAUUUUUUUACAUUCAUUUUAAACUCAUUCUUCUCACUGCCCAACAAUUUACGGUCAAAAUUUGCCAACAUAUACUAUUUUGUAACUGUAAAUUGUAAAUUUUUCCAGGAAAUCGUGCAAAUAUUCAUUUAAAAUGCUACCGAAACUUAAAAUAUCAGCAUUUCUCUUAAAGCGUCUGGAGCGCAUCAAACAGCAGUGCAGUGGCUGUCUCUUUGGCGAGCUAUAUGGAGAAGGCACUGUGUUACUUAUGGGAUUUAAUGUUGAAUCCACCAUAGAACAUCUGAAUUACGAACCAAUUCAAUUCAAAUUCCCUGCCGAAUUAGACUUGUGCGGGUUGGUGAAAUUCGGAGACUGCACCGAUGCUGAGGCACAUUUAAAUGAAAUUUUAAAGGACGUAGAUAUUACGGAUAAUUCCAAUACUAUUACAGUGUGAGUUGGGCGCUGCUCAGAUUUCUGAACAGUUCCUAAUGGCUACAGUUCUAGAUAAGAUAUUUUUGUAAACUAUACUUUACAAGUCUCUCAUCAUUCCCGUCGUACUUUAUGGUGCAGAAGUGUGGACGAUGUCAACAUCCGAUGAGACGGCACUAGGAGUUUUCGAGAGAAAGGUUUUGCACAAGAUUUAUGGUCCCUUAAACAUUGACAACGGCGAAUACUGCAGACGAUGGAACGAUGACGACAUAGACAUAGUCCCGCGAAUAAAAAAACAGCGGCUACGCUGGCUGGGUCAUGUUGUUCGAAUGGAUGAAAGUAUUCGAUGCAGUACCCGCUGUUGGAAGCCGAGGAAGAGGGAGACCUCCAGUCCGAUGGAAGGACCAGGUGGAGAGGGACCUGGCUUCGCUUGGUAUAACCAAUUGGCGCCAAACUGCCAGAAGAAGGUAUACGUGGCGCGCUGUUGUGGACUCGGGUUAUAACCGCGUAAGCGAUGUCUACGCCAGUCCAGAAGAAGAAGAUAUUAUCGCUAAACAUAGAAAUGUAUUCAUCAAUUGCCCAUUAUAUAAAAAUCCAGUGUCCGUGUGUAUGUUCCGAAUGAACUCAAAAACGACACAACUGAUAUUCAUGAAAGUUGGCAUAUACAUGUAAUUUGGUCUAACUUGGAUGAUAGGAUAGUUAUUAUUCAAAUUAAUCGUCUCCACAAUUAAUAAUUAACACUUUAUAAUUUCUGUACUGUUGUUUAAACUAAAAAUGAACUGAUUGAGAGUGUCUUCCCAGAUAUACUAAAUAACUAUUUAAAUCAUGACUAGUUUAGUAAUAGGGCAAUUUUAGCAGCGAAAAAUGUUGAUGUUGAUCUGAUUAACUACCAGGUACUACAAUUAUUACCAGAUGAUUUAAUGCCAUUUAAGUCUAUCGAUGCUACUGUAGAAGAAAACGAGACAGUGAAUUUCCCAAUUGAAUUUUUAAAUUCUUUAGACUUAUCAGGAAUGCCACCACACAAUCUACGAUUGAAAAUUGGACCACCGAUUAUUCUACUGCGUAAUUUAAACCCUCCUAAACUAUGCAACGGCACACGUUUGGUGAUCAAAAGAAUUACUGGAAACGUUCUUGAAGCAACUAUUUUGACAGGAAAAUUUUGAAGGAGAAAUUGUUUUGUUACCACGUAUUCCGAUGAUACCAUCCUAUUCUCCCAUACCAUUUAAAAGACUACAGUUUCCCAUUCGUUUAGCUUUCGCUAUGACUAUAAAUAAAUCUCAAGACCAAACAAUGUCUAUUUGCGGAUUUGACAAUGUCAAUGCCCCAUGGGCAAUUAUUUGUAUUAACAAAGGAUCGAUUCACCAAAAAUAUUGUACAUCGAUUGGCGCUACAUUGAACAUUAACUGUGGUUUAUUACGAUUAAAGACAUUUAGAGUAUACAUAUAUAUAUCAAAUAAAAAUAUUUUAAGUAUUUAUUAAAUAUGUUAUAAAAAUGUUAUGUUAAUUUGUGUUAAAUUUUGUCUUUCAAAUACUUCUUGAAUCACUCAUCGACAGCAACGCGUGGCCGGGUCUGCUAGUAGUUGUAUAAACAAGGUAUCAACAAAUUAGAUACCAAUGCGUUUAAAUACAUAAAACGUAAAACUCUGGGCACACCUUCCCCC
Molecule: RNA transcript, 2444 nt
Organism: Zeugodacus cucurbitae (melon fly)
Lineage: Eukaryota; Metazoa; Arthropoda; Insecta; Diptera; Tephritidae
Gene name: probable Ufm1-specific protease 2
Exons: 3
Source: RefSeq, a predicted model, not a curated record